GAUGAACGCUGGCGGCGUGCCUAAUACAUGCAAGUCGAGCGAACAGACGAGGAGCUUGCUCCUCUGACGUUAGCGGCGGACGGGUGAGUAACACGUGGAUAACCUACCUAUAAGACUGGGAUAACUUCGGGAAACCGGAGCUAAUACCGGAUAAUAUAUUGAACCGCAUGGUUCAAUAGUGAAAGACGGUUUUGCUGUCACUUAUAGAUGGAUCCGCGCCGCAUUAGCUAGUUGGUAAGGUAACGGCUUACCAAGGCGACCAUGCGUAGCCGACCUGAGAGGGUGAUCGGCCACACUGGAACUGGGACACGGUCCAGACUCCUACGGGAGGCAGCAGUAGGGAAUCUUCCGCAAUGGGCGAAAGCCUGACGGAGCAACGCCGCGUGAGUGAUGAAGGUCUUCGGAUCGUAAAACUCUGUUAUUAGGGAAGAACAAAUGUGUAAGUAACUAUGCACGUCUUGACGGUACCUAAUCAGAAAGCCACGGCUAACUACGUG
This 497-nucleotide ribosomal RNA is filed under the name uncultured bacterium. RNAcentral's name for it is "partial 16S ribosomal RNA". It matches the Rfam family "Bacterial small subunit ribosomal RNA", at positions 28 to 507 of the family's 1533-position model. The record is from RNAcentral.